UACGAGGGGUGCAAGCGUUGUUCGGAAUCACUGGGCGUAAAGCGUGUCUAGGCGGAUGGUAAAGUCUGAUGUGAAAGCCCCUGGCUCAACCAGGGAUGUGCAUUAGAUACUUGCCGUCUUGAGUUAUGGAGAGAUGGGCGGAAUUCCGAGUGUAGCAGUGAAAUGCGUAGAUAUUCGGAGGAACACCAGAGGCGAAGGCGGCUCAUUGGCCAUUAACUGACGCUAAAGCACGAAAGCGUGGGGAGCAAACAGG
This 253-nucleotide ribosomal RNA is filed under the name uncultured bacterium. RNAcentral's name for it is "partial 16S ribosomal RNA". It matches the Rfam family "Bacterial small subunit ribosomal RNA", at positions 524 to 776 of the family's 1533-position model. The record is from RNAcentral.